AUACGAUGGAAAUAUUCUGCCAUGGCAAUGAAACACCUUGCUGCUUGAUGUGUCGUUAGGAUCUGAUUUAGACGGUGAAUUGUUUGGUGUCGAAGAAGAUCUGCCUGUAAGUUCAUCAAUUCAAUUUUCAAACAUUUUUUUUUUCUAUUUUCGAACACAUACGACAAAUCAUACAUUUAUUCAACUGUUAUUUCAUUUGAUGGAAUAGAAUCCUACAAGAUAAACCUCUGUAUAUAUUUUUAAUAGUCAAAUUGGGAAGUUAGCCUAAAUUUGGGUCAUCUAUAACAUAUACUACUAUUGUAGUAGUGUGUAAGGGUAAUAGAAGAUUUUGAAAGGGACCGUAAAUUAAACACCUUAUUAAUAUAGGCUAUGCAUUAUUUUGAGAGUAUGACUAUUAAUAUUCAACAUAGGGACAAUAUUUUCAAACAUUGGAUUUCUGAAUCCGGAAUGGCAACAAUAAUAAUGAUAAUCAUCACAGUAAACUUUGAACCACCGUUGGAGUAAUUUUUAAUAAAGUCAGCAUUAUGGCUACAAGAAGUCAAACUACAACAAAUACUACAAUUCUUGGUCAAAUUACGUCUGGAUCGGCUUAUAGAUAAAUAAAGGAAAUGUUUACUUGUGAUAUUAUUCAUUAUCAUUAGGAUUAGUAUAAUUUACCUAAAUAUUGGAUGACUUAAUUUAAUUAAAACCACCUAUUCAUCUAUAUAUAGAAGUACUACUUAUGUAUCUUAUUAUAAACAUUUAUUGUUUUUUUUAUUCUUAUUAAGAAAAAUUGAUAAAUUAGUUGAUGUCAUCAUUUUAUCUGUUUUAAUAUUCCUAAAAAAAUAUUUCUAUUCAUAUGUGUUAAAUUUAAUUUUUUAUAUUUCAAAAUAAAUUAGUAGUAUUAAUAGGAAUAUGUUUAAAAAUAAUAAUAAAUAGGUUUAAUAAAUUAAAAGAGUGGUUAUAUCCAAGGACAAAUUUUUUUCUCAAAGCUUAUAAUUAGUGACAGAUAGUAUUGAUAAAAGUGGGUGAACCAACUUUGGUGAGAUGAAUACAACACACACAUAUAUAGACUGAGGUAUCCCGUGGUUAUAAACUGCCAUAAAUUUCACAAAGAAUUUCAAGUCAUUUUACCAUUGCUGUCAACUUACUUCAACUUAUAAAAUUCCAAAAUCAGUUCAUAUUCUUAAUGAAGAAAUAAAAAAGCGUAUGCCACAUUUCAUUCAAAAUUAUUGCAUUAGUCUCUUUCAAAUGUUCAAUAAGUAACAAAAAAAUCAUAGUAUUUGUCUCGAGCAAAAUUGGUGUGUUUGUACUAUUAGUAGUCAAAAUUCAAAAAAGGAAGUUAUGGGGAAGGGUCUAUAAGUUGUCUUCAAGUCAAACGGUUAUGACCAUGACAUCACAUAGAUAUGGGGCUACAAGGGUAUCUUUGAUUUUGAAUUAGGAUUGUAUCGGUAAGGGACCACUGAUAUUAAGUGUCACGUGUAUAUGUAUACCAACAAUAGUAGUACAUACUACCUUAGGAAUUCAAUGUUCAUCAUAAUAAAGUUAAAUACCAUCUUAUUCAUAAGUAUAUAUAAACCUUAUUAGAAGCCUUAUUACGGUACCUUUGCAAUGCUUUGUAUGCCUAUGUGUACUAAACUCUAUCCAAUCAUUUAAAAAAAAAUGUACAACGAUAAUAUACCUAUCCCAUAUAUAUUUGAAAUUUUUAUUACUAACAAGGAAAUAAUUUUGCUACCUCUUUUAAGCUUUAUACUACACAUACCCCUUCAAAUUCAAUUUGGUGCAUAUGGAUUUUUCCUUAUUGAGGUGUAUGUUUUUUUUUUCUUUUUCAAUAUCACCAUAUAUAUAAUGUAUCCAAGUAAAUGUACCGGACACACCCGAAAGGAACUAAUUAAAGUCGUUUUCGAGAUAUAAACAUUGCCUCCCCACCACACACAACAUAUGUAAAUUAGAUGCAAAAUUUUUUAUUUAUUUUUAAUUUGUUUGUUUUGUAGAUUCCAUGUAACUAACUGAAGAGAGAGAAAUGAAUGGAUUUUGGAGGUGGUUGUAGCAGGUUUCCUUACCCAACGAGUAACAUAUUCUUCUUCCUACCCGACCCACGAGAUCCGUUAUAAAAACUUUGUCAAGUCAGGGCCCUUAGGGGGACCACAAAAUUAUAAUCAACCAAUAUUAUAUUGUCAUAAUACUCCAUCCAAAAUAGUAUAACUAAUUAAUC
RNAcentral lists this long non-coding RNA (2194 nucleotides) under Cicer arietinum (chickpea). RNAcentral describes it as "long non-coding RNA (CARI_LNC000809)". Lineage: Eukaryota; Viridiplantae; Streptophyta; Magnoliopsida; Fabales; Fabaceae. The record is from RNAcentral.